Molecule: ribosomal RNA, 253 nt
Filed under: uncultured bacterium
Lineage: Bacteria
Description: partial 16S ribosomal RNA
Rfam family: Bacterial small subunit ribosomal RNA
Source: RNAcentral
GACGAACCGAGCGAACGUUGUUCGGAAUCACUGGGCUUAAAGGGCGCGUAGGCGGGUGCUCAAGUCCGUGGUGAAAUCCUCCGGCUCAACCGGAGAACUGCCUCGGAUACUGGGCGUCUCGAGUGUGGUAGGGGUAUGCGGAACUAUCGGUGGAGCGGUGAAAUGCGUAGAGAUCGGAAAGAACACCAACGGCGAAAGCACUCUGCUGGGCCGACACUGACACUGAGAGACGAAAGCUAGGGGAGCGAAUGGG